This 1271-nucleotide ribosomal RNA is filed under the name metagenome. RNAcentral's name for it is "SSU rRNA". It matches the Rfam family "Eukaryotic small subunit ribosomal RNA", at positions 482 to 1777 of the family's 1831-position model. The record is from RNAcentral.
AAUGCGGGACUCUAAGAGGCCCCGUAAUUGGAAUGAGUACACCUUAAAUCGUUUAACGAGUAUCAAUUGGAGGGCAAGUCUGGUGCCAGCAGCCGCGGUAAUUCCAGCUCCAAUAGCGUAUAUUAAAGUUGCUGCAGUUAAAAAGCUCGUAGUUGGAUCUGGGGCUUGAGGUCGCUGUCUAUCGUUUCGGCGAUGACGGUGAUGCUCAGCUCUGCUAGCCGGUGACUGUUGCGGUGUUCUUCACUGAGCGCUGUAGCAGCACGGCACGUUACUUUGAAAAGAUUAGAGUGCUCAAAGCGUGCUUGUCGCUUGAAUAAUGUUGCAUGGAAUAAUGGAAUAGGACCUCGGUUCUAUUUUGUUGGUUUUCGGAGCUUGAGGUAAUGAUUAAGAGGGACGAACGGGGGCAUUCGUAUUGCGGUGUUAGAGGUGAAAUUCUUGGAUCGCCGCAAGACGGACUACUGCGAAAGCAUUUGCCAAGAACGCUUUCAUUAAUUAAGAACGAAAGUCAGAGGUUCGAAGACGAUCAGACACCGUCCUAGUUCUGACCAUAAACGAUGCCGACCAGCGAUCCGUAGUGGUUGCUUUAUGGACCCUACGGGCAGCCUCCGGGAAACCAAAGUAUUUGGGUUCCGGGGGAAGUAUGGUUGCAAAGCUGAAACUUAAAGGAAUUGACGGAAGGGCACACCAGGAGUGGAGCCUGCGGCUUAAUUUGACCCAACACGGGAAAACUCACCCGGUCCGGACACCGUAAGGAUUGACAGACUGAUAGCUCUUUCUUGAUUCGGUGGAUGGUGGUGCAUGGCCGUUCUUAGUUGGUGGAGUGAUUUGUCUGGUUAAUUCCGAUAACGAACGAGACUCUAGCCUGCUAAGUAGUGUUGCUAUUGUUAUAUGGUUGACACUUCUUAGAGGGACAAGUGGCAUUUAGCCACGCGAAAUUGAGCAAUAACAGGUCUGUGAUGCCCCUAGAUGUCCGGGGCCGCACGCGCGCUACACUGGAGAAGUCAGCGUGUGUUAUCCAAGUCCGAAAGGACUGGGUAAUCCGUUGAACCUUCUUCGUGCUUGGGACUGUGGCUUGGAACUAUUCCACAUGAACGAGGAAUUCCUAGUAAUUGCAAGUCAUAAGCUUGCGUUGAUUACGUCCCUGCCCUUUGUACACACCGCCCGUCGCUACUACCGAUUGAAUGGUUUAGCAAGGUCCUCGGAUCGUGGCCGUAGGGGCACGCAAGUGUUUCUGCGGUUUGCGAGAAGACGACCAAACUUGAUCAUUUAGA